AUACGUAGGGGGCGAGCGUUGUCCGGAAUGAUUGGGCGUAAAGGGCGCGUAGGCGGCCCGGUAAGUCUGGAGUGAAAGUCCUGCAUUCAAUGUGGGAAUUGCUUUGGAGACUGGUUGGCUUGAGUGCGGAAGAGGUAAGUGGAAUUCCCAGUGUAGCGGUGAAAUGCGCAGAGAUUGGGAGGAACACCAGUGGCGAAGGCGACUUACUGGGCCGUAACUGACGCUGAGGCGCGAAAGCGUGGGGAGCGAACAGGAUUAGAUACCCUGGUAGUCCACGCGGUAAACGAUGAAUGCUAGGUGUUGCGGGUAUCGACCCCUGCAGUGCCGGAGUAAACACAAUAAGCAUUCCGCCUGGGGAGUACGGCCGCAAGGUUGAAACUCAAAGGAAUUGGCGGGG
RNAcentral lists this ribosomal RNA (397 nucleotides) under uncultured bacterium. RNAcentral's name for it is "partial 16S ribosomal RNA". It matches the Rfam family "Bacterial small subunit ribosomal RNA", at positions 523 to 918 of the family's 1533-position model. The record is from RNAcentral.